GGCGCGAUGGCAGAGUGGUUAUGCAGCGGCCUGCAAAGCCGUGCACCCCGGUUCGAUUCCGAGUCGCGCCUCCA
This 74-nucleotide transfer RNA is filed under the name Thauera sp. RNAcentral's name for it is "tRNA-Cys". It matches the Rfam family "tRNA". Rfam says of the family: Transfer RNA (tRNA) molecules are approximately 80 nucleotides in length. Their secondary structure includes four short double-helical elements and three loops (D, anti-codon, and T loops). The record is from RNAcentral. Lineage: Bacteria; Pseudomonadati; Pseudomonadota; Betaproteobacteria; Rhodocyclales; Zoogloeaceae.